UGGGGAAUAUUGGACAAUGGGCGCAAGCCUGAUCCAGCCAUGCCGCGUGAGUGAUGAAGGCCCUAGGGUUGUAAAGCUCUUUUACUCGGGAAGAUAAUGACGGUACCGAGAGAAUAAGCCCCGGCUAACUUCGUGCCAGCAGCCGCGGUAAUACGAAGGGGGCUAGCGUUGUUCGGAAUCACUGGGCGUAAAGCGCACGUAGGCGGAUUGUUAAGUCAGAGGUGAAAUGCCGGAGCUCAACUUCGGAACUGCCUUUGAUACUGGCGAUCUCGAGUCCGGGAGAGGUGAGUGGAACUGCGAGUGUAGAGGUGAAAUUCGUAGAUAUUCGCAAGAACACCAGUGGCGAAGGCGGCUCACUGGCCCGGUACUGACGCUGAGGUGCGAAAGCGUGGGGAGCAAACAGG
RNAcentral lists this ribosomal RNA (404 nucleotides) under uncultured bacterium. RNAcentral's name for it is "bacterial SSU rRNA". It matches the Rfam family "Bacterial small subunit ribosomal RNA", at positions 355 to 776 of the family's 1533-position model. The record is from RNAcentral.